Molecule: long non-coding RNA, 749 nt
Organism: Homo sapiens (human)
Lineage: Eukaryota; Metazoa; Chordata; Mammalia; Primates; Hominidae
Gene: TEX36-AS1
Product: TEX36 antisense RNA 1
Source: Ensembl
AUUCCACCUCCCACACCUUCCCAACCCUGGCUGUGCUGGCCCUGACUGAGAGGAGGGGGUUUCCACUUCCGUCACCUGGCAAGGGAACCUCCACAGCCCAAGAAUAUUAACAUUUAUCAGGUGCCGGGCAUGGGCCUCAUGUGUUUUAUGUAAUUCAAUCCUCCCAACAAAAGUAUGAGAAAGACCACACUCAGGCCAAGCACUGUGGUUCCCGCCUGAAAUCCCAGCGCUUUGGGAGGUGGAGGCAAGAGGAUUGCUUGAGCUCAGAAGUUCAAGACCACCCUGGGCAACACAAGCCAGCCCUGCAGCACAGCCUUCAACAUGAGCAACUCCUGCUCUCUGUAGCUCCAGCCCCAGCCUGGACCUAUCUUUCAGAGCCAUAAUGCUGAGACAGUCCCUGAGUCUUGGAUGAACACAGGACUCACAGUGUCUACACCGGACAGUUUCUGUUUGCACGACGUUGAGUAAACUUCACAUCCAUCGGGGAAGUUACCCUUUGGGAUUACUGAUGAAGGUGAGGAGAAGAUGCUGUUCUGAGAGCUGCUGAUAAUACGUGGAUCCAAACCCACAGGCUUGAGCUGCUUAAUUGAAAUUCACGUCAAAAUGAAAUUCUGGUUUAGCUCAACUUGACUACUAUGGAUGAUGAAAAUAAAUCCCUGGGUCACACAAGGAUAGUGAUUGAGUAGAGCUUGUUUGCUGGCACAGGAAUGACAUUUCAACUGGAAUUAAAUUGUCGUCAGUUAACAGAA